CUCGGAGGGCUCGGAGGACGACUC
Molecule: microRNA, 24 nt
Filed under: bovine alphaherpesvirus 1
Lineage: Duplodnaviria; Heunggongvirae; Peploviricota; Herviviricetes; Herpesvirales; Orthoherpesviridae
Description: bhv1-miR-B5
Gene: bhv1-miR-B5
Source: miRBase by way of RNAcentral